UGAUUAGCCGUGGCUUAUUCCUGAGGUACCCUCAGAACUUGUUCCCUCNGAAAAGUAGUUUACACCCCGAAGGGAGUCAUCCUACACGCGGCAUUGCUCCGUCAGGCUUUCGCCCAUUGCGGAAUAUUCCUCA
This 133-nucleotide ribosomal RNA is filed under the name uncultured bacterium. RNAcentral's name for it is "partial 16S ribosomal RNA". The record is from RNAcentral.